Ailuropoda melanoleuca (giant panda) is the source of this 73-nucleotide non-coding RNA. NCBI's taxonomy places the organism in Eukaryota, Metazoa, Chordata, Mammalia, Carnivora, Ursidae. The record is from Rfam.
AUCUGGCUGGUUCAGUCAGUAGAGUAUGAGACUCUUGAUCUCAGGGUGGUGAGUUCAAGCCUCACAUUGGGUG